AUUAAAUAUAUGAUUAAGUGGUAUUAGGAAAAUGUUACUUUUGAAUGUGAAAAGUGCAAUCUUAAGUUUUAAGGAUAUUAAUACAAUUUUGGUUUAAUUUAGGCUGAAUAAAUAUUAUAGAUACCAUGUUUUACGCUAUAAAUAAAAUAAUAAAUAAUUUGACUUAAUAAGGAUUUUGACAUGUUUUAGUCUAUAAAUAAGUAAUAUUUUUAAGAGAUAAAAUGAAAUAAUUAGUAUAUAAUAUAUUGAAUAUUUAAGGAAUAAUGGGUAUUAAAAGGAAAUUUUAUUUAUGUUGGAUUUUAAAAGGGUAAAAGUAAGGAAUAGGGAUCCUAUGAAGGUUAUGAAGUAGAAUGCUAUAAUUUAGUUGUUACUAGCCAAAGGGUAAUCCCUUUGGCUAGUUCUAGUAUUUUAUAGGGAGAUAUAGUUGCUUAGUCUUGGUGGUUGGUUGAUUCUCUUCAGUUUGAAUAGUUUUCUAAUUCAAGUUUUAUGUUGUUUUUUGAUGUUUUUUUCAGGGGGAACUUCAGUAUUUUAUUGGGAUUGGGCUGAGAGAGACGAAGAGAGAGGAAGAUAGAGGGUUUCAAAUGAGAGGGUUAGUUUAGGAAAUUUAGAAAUGUUGUUAUAUAUCACCAAUUUUACUAACUUUGCAUUUAGGGGAAAAAUUAUUAAGUAAUUUAAGCAUGGAAAUUCAAAUUUCCCUUUUAAAAUUAUAAAUUAUUAUCUUUUCUUUUUCUUUUUCGUUUUUUCUUUCUUCUUUUUAAAAUUUUCCAUUUUUGUUUUUUUACCUCUCUCUACCUUCUUCUUCAACCUUUCCCCUUCUCCAGUGGCUCCUCACCAUCACCAAAAAAAUCUCAGUCAAAUAUAACCCAAAAAGAAAAUAAUGAAAAGCCCAGAAAACAGAGAAGAAGAUGUAUGAUUUUACAGUCUCCAAGAAGAUGAGGAGCACCACCACUGUCGCGCACAUCCGAGAAGGAGAAAAGGAGAAAGACGGACGGGAAAGGGGCUCGAGGGUGGAAUAUCGGGGUUUGGGUUUCGAUUUUUCUGGGUUCAUUUCAAGCUUGCAGGACUGAGAAUGGCCGGCGUCAGAUUUGGGCGGGGUUUGGGUUUCGAUUUUUUCUGGGUUCAUUCAAUGAAGCCUGGAACCUCUGGUCUCCGCAAGAAAAUCGGUGAAUUGAAAUCGAAAUUGCUUCAUUGAAUCAGGCUGAUCCGUAUGGGUGGUUGAUUUUGGUUUUGGAUUUGGAUUUGGAUUUAUAUGAAAUUGUAAUUGAAUGAGAUCUUAUCUGCUUGUUCUUUGAUAUAUGAUGUGUCAGUUUAUUUAUUUUUGCUGA
Molecule: long non-coding RNA, 1325 nt
Organism: Cannabis sativa
Lineage: Eukaryota; Viridiplantae; Streptophyta; Magnoliopsida; Rosales; Cannabaceae
Exons: 2
Source: RefSeq, a predicted model, not a curated record